AACGAACGCUGGCGGCAUGCCUAACACAUGCAAGUCGAACGAGACCUUCGGGUCUAGUGGCGCACGGGUGCGUAACGCGUGGGAACCUGCCCUUAGGUUCGGAAUAACUCCCCGAAAGGGGUGCUAAUACCGGAUAAUGUCUUCGGACCAAAGAUUUAUCGCCUUUGGAUGGGCCCGCGUUGGAUUAGCUAGUUGGUAGGGUAAAAGCCUACCAAGGCGACGAUCCAUAGCUGGUCUGAGAGGAUGAUCAGCCACACUGGGACUGAGACACGGCCCAGACGAAGGGGGGGGGUGGUGGUGGAAAAGAGGGACAAGGGGGCAACAGCCGGAUACAGGCGGGUCGGGUGGGUGAUGAAGGUUUGUGGUGUGAAAAGUUUUUGUACCCGAGAAGAAAAUGACGGUAGGGGAAGAAAUACGCUCGGCAACCUCCGUGCAAUACGCCGAGUUAAGAAUGGGAGAGCCAACGUUCGAAC
This 473-nucleotide ribosomal RNA is filed under the name uncultured bacterium. Its description in RNAcentral is "partial 16S ribosomal RNA". It matches the Rfam family "Bacterial small subunit ribosomal RNA", at positions 31 to 542 of the family's 1533-position model. The record is from RNAcentral.